AUUCUAUCCCUGUGCUCAAGUUCUUCAGGAGCACCUCACUGUCUCCCUCUGCCCACCCACCUGCACCUGACAGCUGUGGGCUGUGCUCUCAGGGAGGCACCGUCAGAUGCUACCAGACUACAGAGGAGAGCACCCUCAAUCCUGACUGAAGGUUUGGGAAAAGGCUGCUCAGAAGAGGUGAUACUUGAUAUGGGCCCUGGAGGAGGAGAAGCAGUUUGAGAAGACAGCAGUGAGAGAUGGCAUCCGGGCAGGCGAGAAAUGCAAAGGGAAGAGAGGUCAUCCAGGACAAAAGUACAGAAUGAAAAGAAAAAGCAACUAAGCACGAAAUCUUGGAGAAUGUCCUCAUUGAAGGGUGAGCAGAUGAAGAGGAGCCCACAAAAGAGACUGAGGAAUUGUCUUCAUUCACUCAUUCAUGCAUGUAUUCAUUUGGUCAACAAAUAUUUUUUGGCACCUCCCAUGGACAGGUCCUGAGCACCAAGGGUACAGUCAGAAAUGAUGAAUCCAGAAAUGAUGCCCUCCAGAACUUCUGGUGAGGAAGGCACUCAGGAAAAUGCAGCACCCUAUGGAGGCCCAGAAAGGAGGGCAUUCAGGAAGAACACAGUCUGAUGGUGUCAAGUGCAGCGGAGGCUAAGAGCCUCAGUGCCUCCUUCAGAGAUGCGGUGGAUAUUAGCUUCUGUUGUAUCCUUCAUACAGAACCUGGUGCUGAGAGACAGCUUCUUCUUUUUUUUUUUUUCUUUAAACUUUUCUUAAGACUAGUCAAGUACAGUAUCAAGAAGACGGGAAAGAGUAGAACAAGGAAUUGGAUCCGUAACUGACUGUGAACAAUCAAUUGAGGUAACUCAUUACCUUUGAACCAACCUGGGAGGCAGCCUUGUGACUCACCUCAAUCCUCAAUCUUCUCAGCUAGUUCACUUUGGCCUGGCUCAGGGGCUGACCUAGAAUGAUCCUGUCCAGAAGGACCCUGGAUGUUCUUAGAGACACAGACUGCUAGGGCUGGCAGGGACUUUUCAUCCAAUUCCUCUGUGACAGAGGAGGAAGUGGAGGUGCAGAAGGAGAGGUGAGCUGCCUGUGGUCCUUCAGCUUACUAAUGGCAGUGUUAGGACUGGACCUGAGGGCUCUUCCCUCCAGUCCGGCGCUAUUUAUUCCAUGACAGUGCCUCUCAAACUGUGUUCUCACAAGCAGCUAGUGCUCAGGCAGCUGGACUGAGGCCCUGCCUGCCAAAUCAAAUAUUGGAGGUCUUUCUCCAAUGUGCAGAAAAAAAAAGUAAUUAAUGGGUUAAGUUUCCUUAGGGUUAAAUUAUUUUUCCAUUAAUGCUUCUUAAACCAUUGUCACCUGCUACCAAUUGUCUACUAGCCAAUGCAUGCAGGCAACAAAACAAAAGGAUAAGCCACAAGUAAAUAAGAACAAGAACAACCAAAGCCUUGGAAACACACCAUCAUUCUUAAGUUAAAGGCUUAAAAAAAAAAUAGAGGAAGACUGCUAUGACUGUGGACUUUCUAUUGCAUUCACAUAAUAAAAUCAUGCGACAUUGUUUUGAAUUCAAAUGCUAAAAGUAAA
Homo sapiens (human) is the source of this 1557-nucleotide long non-coding RNA. The record is from Ensembl. Lineage: Eukaryota; Metazoa; Chordata; Mammalia; Primates; Hominidae.